RNAcentral lists this ribosomal RNA (445 nucleotides) under uncultured bacterium. RNAcentral describes it as "bacterial SSU rRNA". It matches the Rfam family "Bacterial small subunit ribosomal RNA", at positions 330 to 792 of the family's 1533-position model. The record is from RNAcentral.
ACCAGACUCCUACGGGAGGCAGCAGUGGGGGAUAUUGCACAAUGGGGGGAACCCUGAUGCAGCGACGCCGCGUGGGUGAAGAAGCGCCUCGGCGCGUAAAGCCCUGUCAGCAGGGAAGAAAAUGACGGUACCUGAAGAAGAAGCCCCGGCUAACUACGUGCCAGCAGCCGCGGUAAUACGUAGGGGGCAAGCGUUAUCCGGAUUUACUGGGUGUAAAGGGGGCGCAGACGGCGAUGCAAGCCAGGAGUGAAAGCCCGGGGCCCAACCCCGGGACUGCUCUUGGAACUGCGUGGCUGGAGUGCAGGAGGGGCAGGCGGAAUUCCUGGUGUAGCGGUGAAAUGCGUAGAUAUCAGGAGGAACACCGGCGGCGAAGGCGGCCUGCUGGACCGUAACUGACGUUGAGGCUCGAAAGCGUGGGGAGCAAACAGGAUUAGAUACCCGAGUA